CAAAUGAAGGAAUGAACAUAAUUUUCAAAGUCAGUUCCCCUAGGCAAAUAACAGCUGAGGGCAUAAUACUAGAACCAAUAGGUGAGAAGCUAAUUGCUUAUUUUGGUGAUAGAAUGAUAUCUGAAGAAACCCUCAGGAGAAAUUCUGUUAUGCAGAUGGCUGGCAAUCAGGGUAUUAUUGCGUUUACUUAUAGACGAAAUGGA
RNAcentral lists this unclassified non-coding RNA (203 nucleotides) under Hevea brasiliensis (rubber tree). Lineage: Eukaryota; Viridiplantae; Streptophyta; Magnoliopsida; Malpighiales; Euphorbiaceae. The record is from RNAcentral.